This is a long non-coding RNA of Homo sapiens (human), 2595 nucleotides long. RefSeq lists it as uncharacterized. The record is from RefSeq and is a predicted model, not a curated record. Lineage: Eukaryota; Metazoa; Chordata; Mammalia; Primates; Hominidae. The transcript has 2 exons.
CACCCGCCUCAGCCUCCCAAAGUGCUGGGAUUACAGGCGUGAGCCACUGCAUCCGGCCCUGUGUCUGUCUUCUUGAACAAAGCCAGUGGCUUAUCUUUAUGGCUUUCUUGUGCAUCUGAGGAUUGAUGAAAAUUCCCAUGUGCCACCUAACUAUAGGAUUUCUCUGCUUACUGGCACUUCCUUUGGCUUUGUUACACUACCAGAACUACACAGAAAGUGGUUUUGGAUUUGAAAUUCAACUAGUGGGACUUGCUCAGUAUUCCCUCCAUAGAGAGCCUCUCAUACACAGUCUCCUACAGUUAAGUUUAAUUUAUUCCCCUCAUUUGGAUUUCCCUGUCACUGGUCACAGAUUGCUAUUUUAUGGCUCUCAAGUAGAUCAGAAAGGUUUUCAGAGUUCCCCUUCCCCACCUCCUACCCACUUCUCUGUAACGACAGACACCCUUUAAGGGAAACUUGGCCCAACCAAUAUUAUUUGAAGACAUUUCAUUCUCACUUAGGUAAUGGGGCUUGGAGUUGAGGUCUACCUUUUUGUUGCUUUCUAGUAAAGCACUGACCCCUAUCUCACAGUACUCUCCUAAGCCCUGUCCUCCCUGACAACUUAGUUGCUUUAUCUUUCCAGGAGCACCCUCACAUUCCUAUAUUGUGCACACUCAAGACAAUUUCCCAGUGUCCACUUCCUGGCUGAAUCAAUUUCCACAACCAUGACGUGUAACUCCAGCUCAUCUCACCAAAGGGCAUUUUAGCAAGUCACUGCAGAUGCUGCAACUCGGAAAAACACGUUUAGUUAGGAUCUGAUGAGUCUUCUCCAUUAGAUAAAUGUUGUGAGGUGGAACUUACUGUAAUUUCCUUCUCUCCACCCAAGAUCUAAAAUUUUUCUCUGAGUUGGCUCCCUCUCUACCUUCAGUCUCCCUUCCUGGAAGAUUUACCCCAGCAAGGAUGUCUUCUUUCAGAUGGAUAUGAGUAAGUUAGUUUCUGCCCUCGUUCUGUUUCUUCCUUCUCCUGCUCUGAUGUUGGCACAUCCUUAGGAAGUCAGCUACUCCACCCCCUCUACCAAGAUGUGGCCCAAUGAGGGUAGGGUAUCUUUCACUUCCCCUUUCUGGGAGGCCGACUGGCCAAGACUGAACUACCUAGACCCCCCCACCCUUACCACUGUCAUUCUACUCACUGACCCCACAUGCUCAUUUUUUGGUUGUUUGCUCCACUGUCCCUGAGAUCUUAGAGGAGGGGUUCUUAACUGGGGGUGGUUUUACCCCCUAGGGAACAUUUAGCAAUGCCUGGAGACAUUUUUGGUUGUCACAACUGGGGCAAAGAGGUUGCCACUGACACCUAGUGGGUAGAGGCCAGGGAUGCUGUUAAACAUCCUACUAUGCACAGCUAGCCUCCUACAACAAAAACUCACCUGGCUCCUGCUAUCAAUAGUGCAGAUGUUGAAAAACACUGGCUAGAAGGAAUGCCUGCCUCACUGGAAUGUGUGAUGCCUACUCCACCGCUGGUUUGUCUUCAAGGAGCCUUUUGCUGGUCAACUCACCAAUAAAUCCACUAGGAGAUCUCUCCCAUUAAUAGCUGUUUGUACCCUCAUUUACAUCUGUCUGCCCCCUCACAUGUUUGCAUGCCACAAGUAAUGGUGGUCUGCUCAACCUUCAUUCCUAACUCUGCACUUCAUCUGCAGGUUGGCCAUACUCAAGAACCUGAAGGUGCUCAGGAUCUGCUUCAUGAUCUCCGUGGCUAUCCCUUUCACUUUCCGGAGGUGCCUUCUAGACAUCUUGACAUCGUGGUGAAGAUGGAAAGAGUGUUUUACUAGACAUGCCAAGAAAGGCUCUCCCAGUUCAAGUUUGCUUGUUUGGUUGUUUUUUUGUUUUGUUUUUUGUUCGUUUGAGAGACAGACCUUUUUACCAAGGUGGCUAACACAAAGAAUUAACUUGUCCAGCUGAGAACUCACCCCUGAGUCACAGAGGUUUAUGUUACUCUGGUUAACUCAAACAUAGAACCACAACUAAGCAAACCGCAACAACUGCGGCAUUCAUAAAACAAGAAUCAUGCUUAGGCAGUCAUUUAAGUGGGCUCAUCACAGGACAGUAAAUAAUGACAAAAGAAAGCAGGGUGUGGAAGGGAAUUGUGAUGUUAAUAACUCGUACAAUGCUUAAAUGCAUGCCCGGCACUGUUCUAAAUUAAAUCCUUCAAUGAUCACUACAACUUUGUUAGGUAAUGACACAUAUCCCUCAUUUUAUGAAUGGGGAAACUAAGGCACAGCAAAGCUAGAUAACUUGUUUGAGAUCACACAAUCGGUGGCAAUGCUGGAAUUUGAACCCAGAGAAUCUGGUGUAACAGUUCACACUCAAGCCACCACUUUGAGAGGAAUCAAGGGAAAAAGAAGAGAGAUCUAAGAGAAUAAAAAGGGGAGGAAGGAGGAGGAAAAACUCAGCUCACUAACACCUGAAGGCAAUUGCUACAUGGUACCCAGCCUCCUUUUUCAGGCCCACACCCAGGUCUUUGCAGUCCCCACCUCUACCUCUGUUAUCAAGCUUCCUAAAAUGACAUGAUUUGGGGAUAAGUGUUCAAACUAUUUUUUUCACAAAUAAAUGGUGUCCAGAGGAA